AUUGAACGCUGGCGGCAUGCCUUACACAUGCAAGUCGAACGGUAACGGGCCUUCGGGUGCCGACGAGUGGCGCACGGGUGAGUAAUACAUCGGAACGUGCCCGAUCGUGGGGGAUAACGAGGCGAAAGCUUUGCUAAUACCGCAUACGAUCUACGGAUGAAAGCAGGGGACCGCAAGGCCUUGCGCGGACGGAGCGGCCGAUGGCAGAUUAGGUAGUUGGUGGGAUAAAAGCUUACCAAGCCGACGAUCUGUAGCUGGUCUGAGAGGAUGAUCAGCCACACUGGGACUGAGACACGGCCCAGACUCCUACGGGAGGCAGCAGUGGGGAAUUUUGGACAAUGGGCGCAAGCCUGAUCCAGCCAUGUCGCGUGCAGGAUGAAGGCCUUCGGGUUGUAAACUGCUUUUGUACGGAACGAAAAGCCUUCUUUUAAUACAGGAGGGUCAUGACGGUACCGUAAGAAUAAGCACCGGCUAACUACGUG
Molecule: ribosomal RNA, 482 nt
Filed under: uncultured bacterium
Lineage: Bacteria
Description: partial 16S ribosomal RNA
Rfam family: Bacterial small subunit ribosomal RNA
Source: RNAcentral